This 1405-nucleotide long non-coding RNA is filed under the name Canis lupus familiaris (dog). RNAcentral's name for it is "lncRNA (ENSCAFG00000040611.3)". The record is from RNAcentral. Lineage: Eukaryota; Metazoa; Chordata; Mammalia; Carnivora; Canidae.
CUGGGACGGGGCCGGGGACGGGGCCGGGGACGGGGCCGGGGACGCGCGCGAGCUAUUACCAGAGUUUUGGUCCCGUUCUUGCUGAGGGGGCCCCGGAAAACUCCCUUGAUGUUGCGAAAGUGUCCGUUGCGGAGCCGCGUGGAGCUGAUGACAAUGUAGUAACACUCCAUGGGGCCCCGCCGCCUCCCGCCCGGCGCUGGGGCCCCGCCGCCGCCGCCGCCGCCGCCCCGCACGCCGGGGGCCACGCUCACUCCGCCCCGCGGCCGCGCGCGCCGCCCCCCCGCCGCCCCCGCGCCCGCGCCCGCGCCCGCGCCCGCCCCCGCGCCCGCCCCCGCAUGCCCCCCGCCCCCCGCCCCCCGCCGGCCGCAGGGCCCCGAGCGCGUCAGUGGCGGCGGCAGUGGCGGCGGCGGCGGCCCGGGAGUCGCGGCGGCCGGCGGGCAUGAGGGCUGUUAUAGUGCGCGGCGUCGCCGGUCCGCCGCACCGAGCCAAUGGCAGGGAGCCACUGGGCUGGCACGGGGAGCUGUCACGGCCGCGCAGCUGGCGCCCGCCCCCGCCCCCGCCAGGGGGAGCGCCCCGGGAGCCGCCGAGCCGCGGCCGCCGCCGCCCGCCCGCCCCCCGGGAGCCCGGGACUCCGGCGAGGUCGAGGUGUCAGGACAUCUGCACUCGGGCCGCCCACCCCUAGGGCUCCGCACGGCGGGGGCUCCGCACACUACACCCCGGUCCUCGGCCUCGCAGGGAGCCCGGCCGCCCCCCGGACACCAGCCCUGGAGAGAGGAAGAGAAGACAAGGGGACAGAAGAAGUGCUUCCCGCAGAGGGGACACUGCUGUCUGCUGGAUUUAAAAGUGCGGCCUCUUUGAAACAAAUACCGUGAUCUACCAGAUCCAAUACCACAUCAAUUAUAAGACGUACCCUUUUUAUCUCCACUAUAAAUGCAAAAGCACUGUCAAUUAACUGCAAGAAGCCACUGAUUAUAAGACAUCUGAGUUAUGGAGAUGUUGAAAACAAAAAGGCAUCUUAGAACCCAUGAACUACGAAACCUGAAUUUGUGAAGACAGUACUACAUUUAAAGACUCACUGGAACUCGCCUUAAAUAACGUCCAGCUAAAGCAACCAUGCGACACUGAAUGAAUCAUGACUUAGCUGCAGUUAUUUCACUUCUAAAAGAAAAGGAAUAAACUAGGUAUUAUCUUGUUCUCAAGCUUUAAUCUCUCUGAUUGGCAACUUCCCUAGAUUUGAUAUUGGUCAGGCCUGGAAGAACAGAACAUCAAUUUAGUUUUCUACUCGAGGAUGUGCGUCUUGAAUGGCUGGAGGAAAUGCAGAAAUUGUGGAAAUGUGGGAAUUAGUGAAAAUGCAAAAUGGAUCAGAGAGAAAUUUCACGAAUUUGCUUAGGUUCAACCCUAACAG